This 75-nucleotide transfer RNA is filed under the name Lachnospiraceae bacterium. RNAcentral's name for it is "tRNA-Pro". It matches the Rfam family "tRNA". Rfam says of the family: Transfer RNA (tRNA) molecules are approximately 80 nucleotides in length. Their secondary structure includes four short double-helical elements and three loops (D, anti-codon, and T loops). The record is from RNAcentral. Lineage: Bacteria; Bacillati; Bacillota; Clostridia; Lachnospirales; Lachnospiraceae.
CGGCGUGUGGCUCAGCUUGGUAGAGCGCUACGUUCGGGACGUAGAGGCCGCAGGUUCGAAUCCUGUCACGCCGAC